RNAcentral lists this ribosomal RNA (1007 nucleotides) under uncultured Eubacterium sp. RNAcentral describes it as "bacterial SSU rRNA". It matches the Rfam family "Bacterial small subunit ribosomal RNA". The record is from RNAcentral. Lineage: Bacteria; Bacillati; Bacillota; Clostridia; Eubacteriales; Eubacteriaceae.
GCUCAGGAUGAACGCUAGCGGCAGGCUUAACACAUGCAAGUCGAGGGGCAGCGGGGGUAGCAAUACCCGCCGGCGACCGGCGCACGGGUGAGUAACGCGUAUGCAACCUACCCACUACAGGGGAAUAACCCGGAGAAAUUCGGACUAAUACCCCAUAUACCCACAGGCUGGCAUUGGCCAAUGGGGAAAGGAGCAAUCUGGUAGUGGAUGGGCAUGCGUAUCAUUAGAUAGUUGGCAGGGUAACGGCCUACCAAGUCUACGAUGAUUAGGGGAUCUGAGAGGAUUAACCCCCACACUGGGACUGAGACACGGCCCAGACUCCUACGGGAGGCAGCAGUGAGGAAUAUUGGUCAAUGGCCGAAAGGCUGAACCAGCCAUGCCGCGUGCAGGACUACGGCCCUACGGGUCUUAAACUGCUUUUGAGAGGGAACAAUAAGGCCUACGUGUAGGCCGACGAGCGUACCUUUCGAAUAAGCAUCGGCUAACUCCGUGCCAGCAGCCGCGGUAAUACGGAGGAUGCAUACCCGGGCUCGAACGGCUAUAGAAUACAGUGGAAACAUUGUAGCCAGCAAUGGCUGUAGUCGAGGUGCUGCAUGGUUGUCGUCAGCUCGUGCCGUGAGGUGUCGGCUUAAGUGCCAUAACGAGCGCAACCCUUGUCGUUAGUUGCCAGCGGGUAGUGCCGGGGACUCUAACGAGGCUGCCAGCGUAAGCUGUGAGGAAGGGGGGGAUGACGUCAAAUCAGCACGGCCCUUACGUCCGGGGCGACACACGUGUUACAAUGGGUGGUACAAAGGGCCGCUACUGGGCGACCAGAUGCUAAUCUCUAAAACCACUCCCAGUUCGGAUCGGAGUCUGCAACUCGACUCCGUGAAGCUGGAUUCGCUAGUAAUCGCGCAUCAGCCAUGGCGCGGUGAAUACGUUCCCGGGCCUUGUACACACCGCCCGUCAAGCCAUGGAAGUUGGGGGUACCUGAAGUACGUGACCGNCAAGGAGCGUCCUAGGGUAAA